CCCUACAUUCUCCACAAGGUCCUGCCCUGAAGUGCCACUUUGAGAGCAUGGCUUCAGAUUAAAAACGCAGGGGCCUCCUUUAGCAAUUUCCCACCCCCCAGCAAAGCAAAACAACUCUCUGAGCUGCUAGGACCAACUAGCGGGGCUUCCCAGCGCACCAGGGGCUGGCACCUUCGCCCUACCACCCUCCUCCAAACCAAAGGCUCAACUCACCAUAAAGAGAAGUAGGAGGCUGAAGGGGAUUGUGUCUCUGCCGCUCCGUCCAGCAGCGGCUCAGAAGCAAAGAGUUCGCACCCCCUGGGCACGGGCAGCGUAGAGAGAGCCCAGGGGCAGCUGGGACGCUUGCCGGCCCCCGGAGCCCCUUCCCCUCAGGAAGGACGCGGCGGCUCUCUCCCGCCUUCACCAGGGCAUCCUGAGUUCCCCUCUCCGAGCCCCGCUGCCUUCCUCCUCCUCCCUCACAAGUAUCACUUGGGCUGCAGCCAAACGCGAGCGGGCAAAGCGCCCGUCCAGGGUGCGAGCCUCACGCUGGCAGAGAAAUUCCUGACGAGGAGUCCCAAGCUCGCGAGGAGAGUCCGGGGCAGCUGGUGGUGAGGAGGAGCUUGCAAGGGCAGUCGAGAGAGCACCUUGUGCAGCGGUCCCCUAGCUGGGAGCUCGCAGGCGAAACCUGCAGCUGGCGGCGAGCUCCCCAGCGCGCGCCUCACGCUGGCCGAGCCAUCCCUGGAGAGGAGGCUGGCGCUCGCAACAGGAGCCUGGCGCAGCUCGCGGCGAGGUUCCCCGUUAGGACACCAGAGGAACUCAACAGAAAGAUCUUUAUAUAAGGACACCAUGGAACCUGGAUGAGCUUCAGGGAUUUACAAGGUUACAGUUGCCUUGACAGGUUCAAUACCACAGCAAUCCUAAAGGAAUAAAGAAGUGAAGAAAACACA
Molecule: long non-coding RNA, 926 nt
Filed under: Chrysemys picta bellii (western painted turtle)
Lineage: Eukaryota; Metazoa; Chordata; Testudines; Emydidae
Description: lncRNA (ENSCPBG00000026614.1)
Source: RNAcentral